Molecule: small RNA, 138 nt
Filed under: Flavobacterium dankookense
Lineage: Bacteria; Pseudomonadati; Bacteroidota; Flavobacteriia; Flavobacteriales; Flavobacteriaceae
Description: Flavobacterium sp. ARSA-19 Flavo-1 RNA
Rfam family: Flavo-1 RNA
Source: Rfam by way of RNAcentral
AACUAACCCUGAUUGUAGUGCAAAUCCUGUCAUUGCGACUCCAGAAAUUGUUUAUGAGAUUAGCUUACGCUCAGUUCGCUUCGCUCGUGUGUCUUCGUUCCUCGCAAUGACAGAUUGAAACGGAAAGCAGGAAAAUGG